AGAGUUUGAUCAUGGCUCAGAACGAACGCUGGCGGCGUGCUUAACACAUGCAAGUCGAGUGCGCGUGCCGUAGCAAUACGGCAUGGCGCACGGCGCACGGGUGCGUAACACGUGGGCAAUCUGCCCUCCGGUGGGGAAUAACCCCGCGAAAGCGGGGCUAAUUCCGCAUAACAUUCCCUGGACUCCGGUUCGGGGAUUCAAAGCAGUGAUGCGCCGGAGGAGGAGCCCGCGCCCGAUUAGCUAGUUGGCGAGGUAACGGCUCACCAAGGCAAUGAUCGGUAGCUGGUCUGAGAGGAUGGCCAGCCACACUGGAACUGAGACACGGUCCAGACUCCUACGGGAGGCAGCAGUGGGGAAUCUUGCGCAAUGGGCGAAAGCCUGACGCAGCGACGCCGCGUGGGGGAUGAAGCUUUUCGGAGUGUAAACCCCUUUCGACUGGGACGAAUGCCCGCAAGGGAGUGACGGUACCGGUAGAAGAAGCCCCGGCUAACUACGUGCCAGCAGCCGCGGUAAGACGUAGGGGGCCAGCGUUGUUCGGAAUUACUGGGUGUAAAGGGUUCGUAGGCGGUGUGGCAAGUCGGGAGUGAAAUUUCUGGGCUUAACCCAGAAGCUGCUUCCGAAACUGCUGUGCUAGAGUGCGGGAGAGGCGCGUGGAAUUGCAGGUGUAGCGGUGAAAUGCGUAGAUAUCUGCAGGAACACCCGUGGCGAAAGCGGCGCGCUGGACCGUUACUGACGCUGAGGAACGAAAGCUAGGGGAGCAAACAGGAUUAGAUACCCUAGUAGUCC
This 786-nucleotide ribosomal RNA is filed under the name uncultured bacterium. Its description in RNAcentral is "bacterial SSU rRNA". It matches the Rfam family "Bacterial small subunit ribosomal RNA", at positions 8 to 796 of the family's 1533-position model. The record is from RNAcentral.